GAUGAACGCUGGCGGCGUGCCUAAUACAUGCAAGUCGAGCGAACAGACGAGGAGCUUGCUCCCCUGACGUUAGCGGCGGACGGGUGAGUAACACGUGGAUAACCUACCUAUAAGACUGGGAUAACUUCGGGAAACCGGAGCUAAUACCGGAUAAUAUAUUGAACCGCAUGGUUCAAUAGUGAAAGACGGUUUUGCUGUCACUUAUAGAUGGAUCCGCGCCGCAUUAGCUAGUUGGUAAGGUAACGGCUUACCAAGGCAACGAUGCGUAGCCGACCUGAGAGGGUGAUCGGCCACACUGGAACUGAGACACGGUCCAGACUCCUACGGGAGGCAGCAGUAGGGAAUCUUCCGCAAUGGGCGAAAGCCUGACGGAGCAACGCCGCGUGAGUGAUGAAGGUCUUCGGAUCGUAAAACUGUUAUUAGGGAAGAACAAAUGUGUAAGUAACUAUGCACGUCUUGACGGUACCUAAUCAGAAAGCCACGGCUAACUACGUG
This 495-nucleotide ribosomal RNA is filed under the name uncultured bacterium. RNAcentral's name for it is "partial 16S ribosomal RNA". It matches the Rfam family "Bacterial small subunit ribosomal RNA", at positions 28 to 507 of the family's 1533-position model. The record is from RNAcentral.